This 250-nucleotide unclassified non-coding RNA is filed under the name plant metagenome. Its description in RNAcentral is "partial contains small subunit ribosomal RNA, internal transcribed spacer 1, and 5.8S ribosomal RNA". The record is from RNAcentral.
GUAGGUGAACCUGCGGAAGGAUCAUUAACACGAAUUUAUUAUCCAAUAUCAAAACCAAACGUGAACUUAUCUUCUCCCUAUAUUUAUCUAUCUAAUAGAUAGAUAUAGGCUAACCUUCAUAUCUAUGAUAUGAACACAAUUCAAUUUUAACCCCUUUAACUUUAACUAGUUUUCAACCUUCAUUCUUAUGAUAUUUGAAGACAACUAACUAAAAGAAAAACUACAAGGUUAUUCGGAAAGAGUCACUCUU